AGUGGCAACACAAGCGAAGCCGGGGAUGGCUGCGGGGGCCCCGACAAGAGUUUUCUUUUCUUGUUAACAAGUGCACUGACCCCGGAAUCGGAUUGACCGGAGAUUGGGUUAGCGGCUUGGGAAAGGCGGCUACUUUUGAGCCGUUUCGGUGCGCUCUCGACGUCCCUUGAAACCCCGACGGCGUGACUUAUUUGCACCCCUGGUCGUACUCAUCACCGCCGCAGGUCUCCAAGGUUAGCAGCCUCUAGUCGAUAGAAGAAUGUAGUUAAGGGAAGUCGGCAAACUAGAUCCGUAACUUCGGGAUAAGGAUUGGCUCUGAGGAUUGGGUGGAUGGAACCUAUCGGGUGAUUCGUAGGUAGAAGGGAUAGUGGUUCGCGCCGCAGUCCCGGAAAUCUACGGACCGAAGAUGUGGGAACGACCACAAUUAACAAUCAAUUCAGAACUGAAGCGGACAAGGGGAAUCUAACUGUUUAAUAAAAACAUAGCAUUGUGAUGGCGUGCAAACGUGUUGACACAAUGUGAUUUCUGCCCAGUGCUCUGAAUGUCAAAGUGAAGAAAUUCAACCAAGCGCGGG
RNAcentral lists this ribosomal RNA (574 nucleotides) under uncultured Symbiodinium. RNAcentral describes it as "partial Eukaryotic large subunit ribosomal RNA". It matches the Rfam family "Eukaryotic large subunit ribosomal RNA", at positions 1640 to 2246 of the family's 3401-position model. Lineage: Eukaryota; Dinophyceae; Suessiales; Symbiodiniaceae. The record is from RNAcentral.